RNAcentral lists this ribosomal RNA (83 nucleotides) under Gadus morhua (Atlantic cod). The record is from RNAcentral. Lineage: Eukaryota; Metazoa; Chordata; Actinopteri; Gadiformes; Gadidae.
CUAGAUGGCCUUACCACCAUGGACACGCCCGAUCUCGUCUGAUCUCGGAAGCUAAGCAUGGUCGGGCCUGGUUAGUGUCUAGA